Molecule: small nuclear RNA, 296 nt
Filed under: Heterocephalus glaber (naked mole-rat)
Lineage: Eukaryota; Metazoa; Chordata; Mammalia; Rodentia; Bathyergidae
Description: 7SK RNA
Rfam family: 7SK RNA
About the family: 7SK was discovered as an abundant small nuclear RNA in the mid-70s but a possible function has only recently been suggested. Two independent studies have found that 7SK RNA binds the CDK9/cyclin T complex (known as elongation factor P-TEFb). P-TEFb activates transcription by phosphorylating the C-terminal domain of RNA polymerase II.
Source: Rfam by way of RNAcentral
GGAUGUGGGGGCGAUCUGGCUGCAACAUGUAUCAUUCAUCUUAUCUGGCUGGCUAGGUGGGUGUCCCCUUUCUUCCUCAUUGAUCCACGUGUGUCCCUCCCGAAGCUGUGUGCUCAGCCAAAGAGGACAACCACUCCCAUAGAGGAGGACCGUUUCCUCAGUCAAGGGUAUACGAGUAGCUGCACUCCCCCUGCUAGAACCUCCAGACAAGCUCUCAAAAGUCAUGAAUGUGACUAGUUAUCUCCUAGAACAUAUAUAUGCAUUAGAGUUAAAACAUAUAUAUGAAGGCUUUCAUU